UAGGGAAUCUUCCGCAAUGGACGAAAGUCUGACGGAGCAACGCCGCGUGAGUGAUGAAGGUCUUCGGAUCGUAAAGCUCUGUUGUUAGGGAAGAACAAAUGUGUAAGUAACUGUGCACAUCUUGACGGUACCUAACCAGAAAGCCACGGCUAACUACGUGCCAGCAGCCGCGGUAAUACGUAGGUGGCAAGCGUUAUCCGGAAUUAUUGGGCGUAAAGCGCGCGUAGGCGGUUUUUUAAGUCUGAUGUGAAAGCCCACGGCUCAACCGUGGAGGGUCAUUGGAAACUGGAAAACUUGAGUGCAGAAGAGGAAAGUGGAAUUCCAUGUGUAGCGGUGAAAUGCGCAGAGAUAUGGAGGAACACCAGUGGCGAAGGCGGCUUUCUGGUCUGCAACUGACGCUGAUGUGCGAAAGCGUGGGGAUCAAACAGGAUUAGAUACCCUGGUAGUCCACGCCGUAAACGAUGAGUGCUAAGUGUUAGGGGGUUUCCGCCCCUUAGUGCUGCAGCUAACGCAUUAAGCACUCCGCCUGGGGAGUACGGUCGCAAGACUGAAACUCAAAGGAAUUGACCGGGACCCGCACAAGCGGUGGAGCAUGUGGUUUAAUUCGA
RNAcentral lists this ribosomal RNA (608 nucleotides) under uncultured Staphylococcus sp. RNAcentral describes it as "bacterial SSU rRNA". It matches the Rfam family "Bacterial small subunit ribosomal RNA", at positions 355 to 954 of the family's 1533-position model. Lineage: Bacteria; Bacillati; Bacillota; Bacilli; Caryophanales; Staphylococcaceae. The record is from RNAcentral.